CUAGCGACUUCAGAGUUUGAUCCUGGCUCAGGACAACGCUGGCGGCGUGCCUAACACAUGCAAGUCGAACGGGACUUAAUGGAAAGCGACUUCGGUCAAUGGAAGUUAAGUUUAGUGGCGAACGGGUGAGUAACGCGUGAGAAACCUGCCUUUCAGUGGGGGACAACAGUUGGAAACGACUGCUAAUACCGCAUAAUGUAUUCGGGGGCAUCCUCUGAAUACCAAAGCUUUAUGUGCUGAAAGAUGGUCUCGCGUCUGAUUAGCUAGAUGGCGGGGUAACGGCCCACCAUGGCGACGAUCAGUAGCCGGUCUGAGAGGAUGAACGGCCACAUUGGGACUGAGAUACGGCCCAG
This 353-nucleotide ribosomal RNA is filed under the name uncultured bacterium. RNAcentral describes it as "bacterial SSU rRNA". It matches the Rfam family "Bacterial small subunit ribosomal RNA", at positions 1 to 334 of the family's 1533-position model. The record is from RNAcentral.